UCUGUUUGAUCCUGCCAGAGGCCACUGCUAUCGGAGUUCGAUUAAGCCAUGCGAGUCGAGAGGUGUAAGACCUCGGCAUACUGCUCAGUAACACGUGGACAACCUACCCUGAAGAGGGGGAUAACCCCGGGAAACUGGGGAUAAUACCCCAUAGACUAUGGAUGCUGGAAUGCUUUGUAGUUGAAAGGUCCGCCGCUUCAGGAUGGGUCUGCGGCCGAUUAGGUUGUUGUUGGGGUAACGGCCCAACAAGCCUGUAAUCGGUACGGGUUGUGGGAGCAAGAGCCCGGAGAUGGAUUCUGAGACACGAAUCCAGGCCCUACGGGGCGCAGCAGGCGCGAAAACUUUACAAUGCGAGCAAUCGUGAUAAGGGAACUCCGAGUGCCUGUAAAAUCAGGCUGUCCGCCAGUGUAAAUAACUGGUGAAGAAAGGGCCGGGCAAGACCGGUGCCAGCCGCCGCGGUAAUACCGGCGGCUCGAGUGGUGGCCACUAUUACUGGGCUUAAAGCGUUCGUAGCUGGUCUGUUAAGUCUCUGGGGAAAUCUUCCGGCUUAACCGGAAGGCGUCUCAGGGAUACUGGCAGACUAGGGACCGGAAGAGGUGAGAGGUACUCCAGGGGUAGGAGUGAAAUCCUGUAAUCCUUGGGGGACCACCUGUGGCGAAGGCGUCUCACCAGGACGGCUCCGACAGUGAGGAACGAAAGCUGGGGGAGCAAACCGGAUUAGAUACCCGGGUAGUCCCAGCUGUAAACGAUGCGCGUUAGGUGUAUCGGUGACCACGAGUCACCGAGGUGCCGAAGAGAAAUCGUGAAACGCGCCGCCUGGGAAGUACGGUCGCAAGGCUGAAACUUAAAGGAAUUGGCGGGGGAGCACCACAACGGGUGGAGCCUGCGGUUUAAUCGGACUCAACGCCGGGAAACUCACCGGACAAGACAGCUGAAUGAUAGUCGGGCUGAAGACUCUACUUGACUAGCUGAGAGGAGGUGCAUGGCCGUCGUCAGUUCGUACUGUGAAGCAUCCUGUUAAGUCAGGCAACGAGCGAGACCCA
Molecule: ribosomal RNA, 1043 nt
Filed under: uncultured archaeon
Lineage: Archaea
Description: bacterial SSU rRNA
Rfam family: Archaeal small subunit ribosomal RNA
Source: RNAcentral